Molecule: ribosomal RNA, 1369 nt
Filed under: uncultured bacterium
Lineage: Bacteria
Description: bacterial SSU rRNA
Rfam family: Bacterial small subunit ribosomal RNA
Source: RNAcentral
GACGAACGCUGGCGGCGUGCCUAAUACAUGCAAGUAGAACGCUGAAGAGAGGAGCUUGCUCUUCUUGGAUGAGUUGCGAACGGGUGAGUAACGCGUAGGUAACCUGCCUUGUAGCGGGGGAUAACUAUUGGAAACGAUAGCUAAUACCGCAUAACAAUGGAUGACACAUGUCAUUUAUUUGAAAGGGGCAAUUGCUCCACUACAAGAUGGACCUGCGUUGUAUUAGCUAGUAGGUGAGGUAAUGGCUCACCUAGGCGACGAUACAUAGCCGACCUGAGAGGGUGAUCGGCCACACUGGGACUGAGACACGGCCCAGACUCCUACGGGAGGCAGCAGUAGGGAAUCUUCGGCAAUGGGGGCAACCCUGACCGAGCAACGCCGCGUGAGUGAAGAAGGUUUUCGGAUCGUAAAGCUCUGUUGUAAGUCAAGAACGGGUGUGAGAGUGGAAAGUUCACACUGUGACGGUAGCUUACCAGAAAGGGACGGCUAACUACGUGCCAGCAGCCGCGGUAAUACGUAGGUCCCGAGCGUUGUCCGGAUUUAUUGGGCGUAAAGCGAGCGCAGGCGGUUUGAUAAGUCUGAAGUUAAAGGCUGUGGCUCAACCAUAGUUCGCUUUGGAAACUGUCAAACUUGAGUGCAGAAGGGGAGAGUGGAAUUCCAUGUGUAGCGGUGAAAUGCGUAGAUAUAUGGAGGAACACCGGUGGCGAAAGCGGCUCUCUGGUCUGUAACUGACGCUGAGGCUCGAAAGCGUGGGGAGCGAACAGGAUUAGAUACCCUGGUAGUCCACGCCGUAAACGAUGAGUGCUAGGUGUUGGAUCCUUUCCGGGAUUCAGUGCCGCAGCUAACGCAUUAAGCACUCCGCCUGGGGAGUACGACCGCAAGGUUGAAACUCAAAGGAAUUGACGGGGGCCCGCACAAGCGGUGGAGCAUGUGGUUUAAUUCGAAGCAACGCGAAGAACCUUACCAGGUCUUGACAUCCCGAUGCUAUUUCUAGAGAUAGAAAGUUACUUCGGUACAUCGGUGACAGGUGGUGCAUGGUUGUCGUCAGCUCGUGUCGUGAGAUGUUGGGUUAAGUCCCGCAACGAGCGCAACCCCUAUUGUUAGUUGCCAUCAUUCAGUUGGGCACUCUAGCGAGACUGCCGGUAAUAAACCGGAGGAAGGUGGGGAUGACGUCAAAUCAUCAUGCCCCUUAUGACCUGGGCUACACACGUGCUACAAUGGUUGGUACAACGAGUUGCGAGUCGGUGACGGCGAGCUAAUCUCUUAAAGCCAAUCUCAGUUCGGAUUGCAGGCUGCAACUCGCCUACAUGAAGUCGGAAUCGCUAGUAAUCGCGGAUCAGCACGCCGCGGUGAAUACGUUCCCGGGCCU